UACGAAGGGGGCUAGCGUUGUUCGGAAUCACUGGGCGUAAAGGGCUCGUAGGCGGCCAACUAAGUCAUACGUGAAAUCCCUCAGCUUAACUGGGGAACUGCGUGUGAUACUGGAUGGCUUGGAUUUGGGAGAGGGAUGCGGAAUUCCAGGUGUAGCGGUGAAAUGCGUAGAUAUCUGGAGGAACACCGGUGGCGAAGGCGGCAUCCUGGACCAAUAUUGACGCUGAGGAGCGAAAGCCAGGGGAGCAAACGGG
This 253-nucleotide ribosomal RNA is filed under the name uncultured bacterium. RNAcentral's name for it is "partial 16S ribosomal RNA". It matches the Rfam family "Bacterial small subunit ribosomal RNA", at positions 524 to 776 of the family's 1533-position model. The record is from RNAcentral.